CCUACGGGGGGCAGCAGUAGGGAAUAUUGCUCAAUGGGGGAAACCCUGAAGCAGCAACGCCGCGUGGAGGAUGAAGGUUUUCGGAUUGUAAACUCCUUUUGUUAGAGAAGAUAAUGACGGUAUCUAACGAAUAAGCACCGGCUAACUCCGUGCCAGCAGCCGCGGUAAUACGGAGGGGGCAAGCGUUACUCGGAAUCACUGGGCGUAAAGAGCGCGUAGGCGGGAUAGCAAGUCAGAUGUGAAAUCCUAUGGCUUAACCAUAGAACUGCAUUUGAAACUGUUAUUCUAGAGUAUGGGAGAGGUAGGUGGAAUUCUUGGUGUAGGGGUAAAAUGCGUAGAGAUCAAGAGGAAUACUGAUUGCGAAGGCGACCUGCUAGAACAUAACUGACGCUGAUGCGCGAAAGCGUGGGGAGCAAACAGGAUUAGAUACCCCAGUAGUC
Molecule: ribosomal RNA, 440 nt
Filed under: uncultured bacterium
Lineage: Bacteria
Description: partial 16S ribosomal RNA
Rfam family: Bacterial small subunit ribosomal RNA
Source: RNAcentral